This 465-nucleotide ribosomal RNA is filed under the name uncultured Klebsiella sp. RNAcentral's name for it is "bacterial SSU rRNA". It matches the Rfam family "Bacterial small subunit ribosomal RNA", at positions 338 to 795 of the family's 1533-position model. Lineage: Bacteria; Pseudomonadati; Pseudomonadota; Gammaproteobacteria; Enterobacterales; Enterobacteriaceae. The record is from RNAcentral.
CCUACGGGGGGCAGCAGUGGGGAAUAUUGCACAAUGGGCGCAAGCCUGAUGCAGCCAUGCCGCGUGUGUGAAGAAGGCCUUCGGGUUGUAAAGCACUUUCAGCGGGGAGGAAGGCGUUAAGGUUAAUAACCUUGGCGAUUGACGUUACCCGCAGAAGAAGCACCGGCUAACUCCGUGCCAGCAGCCGCGGUAAUACGGAGGGUGCAAGCGUUAAUCGGAAUUACUGGGCGUAAAGCGCACGCAGGCGGUCUGUCAAGUCGGAUGUGAAAUCCCCGGGCUCAACCUGGGAACUGCAUUCGAAACUGGCAGGCUAGAGUCUUGUAGAGGGGGGUAGAAUUCCAGGUGUAGCGGUGAAAUGCGUAGAGAUCCGGAGGAAUACCGGUGGCGAAGGCGGCCCCCUGGACAAAGACUGACGCUCAGGUGCGAAAGCGUGGGGAGCAAACAGGAUUAGAUACCCGUGUAGUC